Molecule: long non-coding RNA, 2727 nt
Organism: Columba livia (rock pigeon)
Lineage: Eukaryota; Metazoa; Chordata; Aves; Columbiformes; Columbidae
Exons: 3
Source: RefSeq, a predicted model, not a curated record
ACAAAUGGAGCCAUAAAUGCAAUUUUCUGUCCUUUGCUCUGAAGAAUUAAUUUUAAGGUAUUCAUAUUUUUCUUCAAGUACAUCUUAAGUCUCAAUUAAACCACAAAAAGCUACAAUAAAGUAACAUUAAGAACCAACUUAAACCCAUCAUAGCAAGGAAAUUCAGACAUCGGCUAAAAAUUUUGUCUCAGUCUUCAUCUUUAAAUCACUCUGUUGUGGUUAGGAAUUGUGUGGCUUGGAGAAGUGUGUGAUUUUUCAUACUGCACAGUACAUACGUUCCAGUACUUAGAUUAAAGGAAAGUUAGAAUUUUUAGACUUAACUCUGAAUUUCUUUCUCCUUGAAGGCUUAACUCAAGCAUCUAUAAUUACUUUAACACAAUCUUUUUACAUUUAAAUCUUUUCAGACUGGAAUAGAAAGUGGAAUUCUAAAAUCUUCUAUUUUGCUGUGUACUUCAAUGGCACUUUCUAAAUUUAAAAGAUUGAGCACUGCUUGCUACAUGAAACUGAAUAUAUGCAUUUUUAAAUGGCACUUAGACAUGAGUGGAUUAAAUGUGGUAAAAAAGGCUUACAUAUUCCCAAUAUAAGUUACAAAUUCAAACAUUCGGGCAUGAAAAUCCUUUGCCUAAGUUAUUUUCAAGCUUCAUCCUUUUUCCUGCAAUAACUAAAGCAAAGCCACAGUAGCUACAGCCAUUUGCAUCUAAGGAAGAGAUGUUUUGCUUUGGUGAUAUAGUUAAUGAGUCUAAAAAUAUUCAGUAUAAUAAUUCUGUCAAAGCCCCCACAGUCUCCUCAAUGAGCAGAAGCCUGCAGGAUUCCAAUGGGGAGCCAAGUAAUGAGCUCUCAGCAUUCGCUCCCACACCGUCCAGACGAAAAAUACUCGGGCCUCGAAGGUUCCACAUCAUUAGCAACAUGAAACAAAGACACAUGCUUGACUUUAAUAAGCGACUAAAGUUGCUGGCUUAUUAGGCUGUCACUGCACAUAAACUCUAUUUCAGUGUGACAAAACUGUUGCCUGCAAACAACAACAACCAAAAAAAAAGGGAAAAAAGGACAGGAGCACUUUUACAAACAGAGAUGGGAUGCUUCACUGCUUUCAGAUGAGCCUUUCACUGUCACAGUCAAUGGCCAGGAACAGAAUAAGCUCUGGAGACUACAUCGAGAUGCAUGAUAAUAUCAUCCAUACUAUGUCCAGAAGAGGUAUACUGUUGAGUGGGAAAUCAAAUAUUACCAAGAACUAUUAUAUUCUGAGAAUGUAGAAGACACAUAUUCUCAUAUCCAAACAAGCAAAAGCUCCAGACGAUAACAUAACAUCGAUAAAUUUUUCUGGAGAGAGACUUGGAGAGAGUAUUCCCUGAUUCUGCAUUCAGAAAAAAAAUACUUUAAAUUCCUUCUAGAAUCCAGUCCUUUUAAGAAAUCAUUUCCAUACUGAUAGCAUUAUCUCUGCUAUUAUAUCGACAGAAAAAAAUUUACACUCACUUGGUAAGGAAAGAUAGGCACUGAGUUCUUCUGCUUUUUAUGUUUUAAAUCUCCAACUUGUUCUCCAGAUCUGUCUAUCCCUAAGAAUAUAUGACUUAAACCCAGUUUUAUUCUUGAAAUGUAGAAGGGCUAUGUAGUUAGCAAGAAUAUCUUGGAUAGGAUUUUCUUAUUUGCAUUUGUCCGGAACAAACUGAAUACACUGAAUUUUAAAAUAAGAGAUUAACUGAGGUAGUAUAUUAGGAAAUGAGCAAUGGAUGAAGAUAUGGGUAUAAGACAUAAAACGGAUUGAUAAGAGUAAAGUACUGACAAAUAAUCUGAAUUUCACACUUUGACACUGUACUUUUACAAAAUGGACUAAAAUAUAUAUAUAUCAGGACCUGCUUUCUGCAUAAAUGACCUGAGUUAAUAGAUUCUUACCUGAAAAUGUUGAUCUGAACUUAAGAUCAGUGAGCAUGAUGACUUAAAUGCAUAUUCAUUUUCAGAAAUAUAGGCAGGUGAGGUCAGCAAGGAAUAACCUGACUAACAUGUCUGAAGAGUAUCUCUGAAUUGAUUAUAGAUGGUAUUGAUAGGCUUCUAUUUUGAAAGCUAUAUAUAAAUACAAAGAAUUACAUUAUAUUUCCAAAACAAAGUUUUACAGCAUCACUUGACUCAGGUUCCAUAGGUUUCAUUGUUAUAUUAAAAAACAAAAACAAAAUCAGAACCUCUGUCCUUUUAAAUGUAACUAAUUAGUCAGUAAAACUUUACACCUGGCCAUUAUACUGCCAUCAUGGAAGUUCUUCAAACUAUAUUUUACCUUUUAUUUCAUUUGAGUUUUUUCUAAAUUAAAGGUUUACAGAAUCUGAUUGUAGCUGUCAUAAAACUCACAAUUUCCAGGAAAAAGUGUUUAUGAAGAAUACAAGGUGCAUUUUAAUUAUUACAUAAUAUAUUUAUAUGCAGAACAUAUGUAUAAAAAUAAAUACAUUUCAGGUGCAAAAACUGAAUAUAUGAUAAUGAAUUUGAAUACCUUACAUGAACUGCUCUUUAAAAAUAAAAUAAAAAGAAAUAGCAGAAAGCAAGUAAAGAAAAAAACUACAAAAAGUGUGAAAUAGGCAAGAAGAAAAUAAGAAUACAGGCGAUCAGUAUUACUAGCAAUUAUUCUAUUUUUAUUAACUAGUUGCAUUGAUUAAAUUAAUUUUAGAGAUGAGAUAAAUGAAUUGAAUAAGAAAUACUAGCACUUUACCUGCUGAUGAUCUCUAACAGCAGUUUCCACCCUGA